RNAcentral lists this transfer RNA (68 nucleotides) under Munidopsis verrilli. Its description in RNAcentral is "tRNA-Ala". Lineage: Eukaryota; Metazoa; Arthropoda; Malacostraca; Decapoda; Munidopsidae. The record is from RNAcentral.
UAAAGCUAUAGUUUAAUUUAAAACCUAUGACUUGCACUCAUGAGCCACCUCAUUGAGGUUAGCUUUAU